GAUGAACGCUAGCUACAGGCUUAACACAUGCAAGUCGAGGGGCAGCAUGACGAUAGCUUGCUAUUGUUGAUGGCGACCGGCGCACGGGUGAGUAACGCGUAUCCAACCUUCCCGUUGCUAGGGGAUAACCUUGCGAAAGUAAGACUAAUACCCUAUGAAGUUCUUCGCAGGCAUCUAAAGAGAACGAAAGAUUUAUCGGCAACGGAUGGGGAUGCGUCUGAUUAGGUUGUUGGCGGGGUAACGGCCCACCAAGCCCACGAUCAGUAGGGGUUCUGAGAGGAAGGUCCCCCACAUUGGAACUGAGACACGGUCCAAACUCCUACGGGAGGCAGCAGUGAGGAAUAUUGGUCAAUGGGCGAAAGCCUGACCCAGCGACGCCGCGUGAGGGAAGACGGUCUUCGGAUUGUAAACCUCUUUCAGCAGGGAAGAAGCAAGUGACGGUACCUGCAGAGAAGUCACGGCUAACUACGUG
RNAcentral lists this ribosomal RNA (472 nucleotides) under uncultured bacterium. RNAcentral's name for it is "bacterial SSU rRNA". It matches the Rfam family "Bacterial small subunit ribosomal RNA", at positions 28 to 507 of the family's 1533-position model. The record is from RNAcentral.